CACCACCAUGCUUCCUGUCAUGAUGAUAAUGGACUAAACCUCUGAAACUAUUCAAGGGCGCUGAGUAGGGUCUGGUAGCAUGACCACUUCCUAGAACAAAGACAAGUAGUGCAAAGCUACAUACAACAGUGUUCCUCUAUGGCUCCUGCUUCGGAGUGUGAGCCAAACGCCUCAAAAUGAAAUAAACCUUUCCCCAAGUUG
Molecule: long non-coding RNA, 201 nt
Organism: Mastomys coucha (southern multimammate mouse)
Lineage: Eukaryota; Metazoa; Chordata; Mammalia; Rodentia; Muridae
Exons: 2
Source: RefSeq, a predicted model, not a curated record